RNAcentral lists this ribosomal RNA (273 nucleotides) under uncultured Staphylococcus sp. Its description in RNAcentral is "partial 16S ribosomal RNA". It matches the Rfam family "Bacterial small subunit ribosomal RNA", at positions 89 to 354 of the family's 1533-position model. The record is from RNAcentral. Lineage: Bacteria; Bacillati; Bacillota; Bacilli; Caryophanales; Staphylococcaceae.
ACGUUAGCGGCGGACGGGUGAGUAACACGUGGGUAACCUACCUAUAAGACUGGGAUAACUCCGGGAAACCGGGGCUAAUACCGGAUAACACAUGAAACCGCAUGGUUUCAUGAUGAAAGACGGUUUUGCUGUCACUUAUAGAUGGACCCGCGGCGUAUUAGCUAGUUGGUAAGGUAACGGCUUACCAAGGCAACGAUACGUAGCCGACCUGAGAGGGUGAUCGGCCACACUGGAACUGAGACACGGUCCAGACUCCUACGGGAGGCAGCAGAG